Molecule: microRNA precursor, 103 nt
Filed under: Marmota monax (woodchuck)
Lineage: Eukaryota; Metazoa; Chordata; Mammalia; Rodentia; Sciuridae
Source: RNAcentral
AGUGGGAUAGCUGGGUCACAUGGUGGUUCCAUUUCCAGUUUUCCAAGGAAUCUCCAUACUUCUUCCUAUACUGGCUGCACCAAUUUGUAGUCCUACUAGCAGU